GGGAUCCUGCGGCCUCCUCUAGGUCUGGACGCAGGGAGGGGUGAGACUGUUCUGGCCAAAGAGACUGGAGAUCCAGUAUCAGCAAGCUACUUUCUUGGUAAACCUCCAUUUCCCAAUGCUCAUCUUUGUCCUCUACCCCCACCCAUCCCAAGGCAAAUGAUGAAAACAUCUAUUGGAUCCAGCCUUUGCUAUCUUCUCCAUGCUGCUCAUAGUGGGUCUAAAAAUGUUCCAUUCUCGGUAAUGUUUGGUAGGUCUCAAACAUCCUCACGAAAUGUUCCCCAAAUGUUCUGCCCCAGCUAAGCAACUAAUAACAAUGGGAAGAUGCAGAAAAAAAAAUGCAUGGAGCAUAAUGUUAGUUUUGGGACUGGUCAGUGGCAAUGUUUUAGAGAUGCCAUGAAGAAUUCCUGGUAAUAAUGCUUUUUCCUACAGCAUUUAGCACUGAAUACUAUGAGAUUACGGCUAAAAGAUGGUCAAGACUGCCUCAGCCAUUAGGAUCAGAAUUCUAAGUUCCAAAGAAGAGCAAACUCAAGAGGAUUUCCUCAGGCCUCUGCCUAUAGAUGCUGCUGGAGGAGAACAGGUGCUAUACUCAAAACAUUCUCAUUUUAUUUAUAUUCUCCCUGAACUAGUACUGAACUCCAUAACCCCAGACUCAAAUAACAGAAAUAAAAGCCAUCUCAUU
RNAcentral lists this non-coding RNA (679 nucleotides) under Pongo abelii (Sumatran orangutan). The record is from RNAcentral. Lineage: Eukaryota; Metazoa; Chordata; Mammalia; Primates; Hominidae.